This is a long non-coding RNA of Aethalodelphis obliquidens (Pacific white-sided dolphin), 1476 nucleotides long. RefSeq lists it as uncharacterized. Lineage: Eukaryota; Metazoa; Chordata; Mammalia; Artiodactyla; Delphinidae. The record is from RefSeq and is a predicted model, not a curated record. The transcript has 2 exons.
GAUGCAUCACGUUCUCCACCUGACAUAAUUUCCUGCACAUGCUAGAGUUUACGUGCCUCUGUGGCCCUACUCAUGCUGCUGCCUCUGUCUGGAAUGCUGGUCCCUCUUUCUCCAUCAGGCGGACUUCUACUGACCGUUUAAGAUCAAAUGUACCAUCUCCGCUAGGAAGCCGCCUCCAGUUCAGGCCCAGCCCCAGCCCCUCACGGCCGGCCCCUUGUCUGUGCCCCCGUGACACUCUGAACGUUCCUCUAUUACAGGACUUCCCAUUCGAUGUCGCGGUGAUCUGCUGCUCUGUCUGUCUCCCGGUAAACUGUGAACUCCUGCAAGGCGGGGUCCAUGGCUGUUCUCCUAUAUGCCACGGGGGUGGGGGGGUGGGGCACGGAGCUGGAUGUUUGGCAAGCAGUAGGUGGCACCUCCUGUGUACCUGCCACAUGUUGUCUAAUCCUCACCACAACCCUAGGAAGCGGGUACUAGUGUCACCAUCUUAUGGAUGAGAAAACAGGCACCGCAACGUAAUUACAAGGCUAGUAUGUGGCAUAGCCAGAUUGGGCCCAUGUUUUUAACCAUGAUAUAAUGAUGCCUAUACUACAUGAAUAAAUGCAAGAACUAGAAAUCAAGUGCCCAUUCCUAAAGCAAAGUUCCUCCAGGUUCUAACCUCUGAAAUCCCAAGGACAGCAGGCACAAUGGGAGUCGGGGCCGAGGAGGGCACCCUCCAAAGUCAACGCAAGACUUUCAGCCGCAGGACGGUGUGCCCGAUGGUAUGGGGCGGCUGGAACAAAGGAGCCCUGCCCUCCCGUGACCCUUACACGUUGGCAUCUCCCCAUCCACAGACACCAGAAGAUCUAUUCAAAGUUUCCCAUAUUCACCCCCAGCACCACCCUGCAUUCUUCCCAUUACAAUGAAACCUGAGAUUCUGAGGUUUCUCCAUCAUGAGCUAGCUCCAAACACAACGCACAUGGAAAGAGGAAAGAUUUACUUUACCACCAACUCUCCAUGCCAGCGGUCAGUGGUUUCAGCCUGUGCUCUCCAGAAUUCUUUCUUGGAACUGGGCUGAAAGUUCUAUUUGGUCAUGAAAGCUGGUCUGGGGCCCCUGCAACACUCAACUCGUGGUGGCUACACGUCCUCCAGGAUGGGGCUGGGCCUGGCCACCACUGUUGCCUGAUAUUCCCGGAUACCUGACAUGGAAGGAUGGCCGGAAAAGCUUCCCCCAGGGCCUGGAUUCCUACUGUCUUCCCCAAACCUGCUCAGAGCUGCUCUCAGGAGAGAACAGUUGGACCUGGAAGCUUCAUGACCGUCAAAUGAAAUAACAGAUGUGAAGGGCUGCAGAGCAUGAUGGAAAACCACGCAAAUACAACGCAAUGUUUUCAUUCUUUAAAAGUAUUAGGACUAAUGCGCUGUACCACGAAUAUGGAACAUUCUCCAAGGAAUUAAAAGUCUGUGCAAUUGGUUCAUUCAAUAAAAAGUAUCUUCUAUGAA